Long non-coding RNA from Mesocricetus auratus (golden hamster), 732 nucleotides. RefSeq lists it as uncharacterized. The transcript has 3 exons. NCBI's taxonomy places the organism in Eukaryota, Metazoa, Chordata, Mammalia, Rodentia, Cricetidae. The record is from RefSeq and is a predicted model, not a curated record.
CCUCUCUGGCCUCCUUGCCUUGUCCUGGUCUAGAGGUGUUAAACAGUACUGAGUUAGGGCCAGGAAAGCCAGGAUGGGUUGCUUUGCUUCAAGAGAAGGCUUGUUGUCUGGGCUGGCACCUGCCACCUGUGACAUGAAUCCAACAAGAAAUUAGGGGCUCUUACUGACUGAAGCGCUUGACCAUCUUAGCACUGAAGGACUCGUCUUCCAGCAGCCAAUCCCAUUGUUCAUCACAAAUGCUUCCAACAUAGCACGUGUGCUCCAGGAUUCCACCAAUGGUCCUCAAAGAUUGCCCCAACUCGGGAAGCCUUUGAGCACAGGCAACCCCUCUCCAUGUGGAAGCUCUUGAGAACACACACACACAUGAACCAUGCCAUGUUAAGUGGAGGUGACGAAGGAUGAGACUGUAGCCGUGUCAUUGACCAAGCCUGAGUCGUCUUCUGUGCACAUCUGGACUCAGAAGAGGCCCACACCCAGAACCACAAUGACAGGUAGCUAGGUGGCUCCCAAGGAAACGUAGCUGAACAUCCCAGCAUGCCCUGCACCUUUGCAGGGACAGGGCUCACAGCCACUGUGCAGAUGUGGCAAUCCCUCUGGGUGGCAAGGCAGUGUGGCUUUGUUUGGGUGCCUGGAGCCGAUAGUCCUGGUGUUCCCCUCACUCUAUGGUGGGUGCUGGCCAUGUCCUUAGAGGGAGCUGGUUUGUUGUAGGAAGUCAGUAAUUUAAUAAAGACU